CCCUUAGAUGUUCUGGGCCGCACACGCGCUACACUGAAGGAGGCAGCGUGUACUCCUGGAUCGAAAGAUUUGGGUAACCCGCGAAUCUCCUUCGUGCUAGGGAUUGAGGUUUGCAAUUAUCCUUCAUGAACGAGGAAUUCCCAGUAAGUGCAAGUCAUAAGCUUGCGCUGACUACGUUCCUGCCCUUUGUACACACCGCCCGUCGCUACUACCGAUUGAAUGAUUUAGUGAGGACUUCGGACUGGGACCGAUGCGGCUUUCGGGCUGCGUCGGUAUUCUGGAAAGAUGUCCAAACUGUAUCAUUUAGAGGAAGUAAAAGUCGUANCA
This 327-nucleotide ribosomal RNA is filed under the name uncultured eukaryote. RNAcentral's name for it is "partial 18S ribosomal RNA". It matches the Rfam family "Eukaryotic small subunit ribosomal RNA", at positions 1470 to 1796 of the family's 1831-position model. The record is from RNAcentral.